UACGGAGGGUGCAAGCGUUAUCCGGAUUCACUGGGUUUAAUGGGUGCGUAGGCGGGCAGAUAAGUCAGUGGUGAAAUACCUGAGCUUAACUUGGGAACUGCCAUUGAUACUAUUUGUCUUGAAUGUUGUGGAGGUUAGCGGAAUAUGUCAUGUAGCGGUGAAAUACUUAGAGAUGACAUAGAACACCUAUUGCGAAGGCAGCUAACUACGCAAAUAUUGACGCUGAGGAGCGAAAGCUAGGGGAGCAAACGGG
This 253-nucleotide ribosomal RNA is filed under the name uncultured bacterium. RNAcentral's name for it is "partial 16S ribosomal RNA". It matches the Rfam family "Bacterial small subunit ribosomal RNA", at positions 524 to 776 of the family's 1533-position model. The record is from RNAcentral.